AGACUCUAUUUUUAUUUUACAAAUAUUCCACUUAAUAGUGCAUGAACUUAACUGCAGACAAAGAGACAGAAACAGAAAUGAAGGAAUUCCUGAACUCCCUAGCACAGUUAGAAAGACAUUUGUCUAAACGACUCCUCUAAGGGCAAACAUACAUUAAAUUAAGGAGAAGACAUUAAGAUUUGGAGUGGUUUUCUUAUUCCUUUUUACAACCAAGUUAAGGUGUGAGUUGCCUAUGGUACAAUGCAUCCAUUUCAAGUUUGAUGACUAUUACUCUAAAAGGUCCUCUUGUGCCCUUUGCAGUCAGUCCCGCCCUCCCCCUGGCCCCAGCAAUUAAUGAUGUAUUUUCUGUCACUAUACAGGUUAGUUUUACCUGUUCUAGAAAUUCACCUUGAUGGCGCCACACAGGAUGCCCUCUUUUCAUCACUCGGCAUGAUGUUUUUGAGCCAAAUUUCUCCCAUUUGGGUUAAUCGCAGGAUCAGCACGUCCACAGUGCAAUGGAAAAGCAACGCCCUGGGAAAACAACCUUCAUAACGUCCUCUCCGAUGCCAGCUGGCCAGGACUUAGUCAGUAUCUACUGAAACCUUGAAUAUCUUGGCUGUGUUAACUGUUUUGACCCAA
RNAcentral lists this long non-coding RNA (618 nucleotides) under Homo sapiens (human). RNAcentral's name for it is "HSALNT0295552". Lineage: Eukaryota; Metazoa; Chordata; Mammalia; Primates; Hominidae. The record is from RNAcentral.